AGUGAACGCUGGCGGUAGGCCUAACACAUGCAAGUCGAACGGCAGCACAGUAAGAGCUUGCUCUUACGGGUGGCGAGUGGCGGACGGGUGAGGAAUACAUCGGAAUCUACUUUUUCGUGGGGGAUAACGUAGGGAAACUUACGCUAAUACAGCAUAUGACCUACGGGUGAAAGCAGGGGAUCUUCGGACCUUGCGCGUUUGAAUGAGCCGAUGUCGCAUUAGCUAGUUGGCGGGGUAAAGGCCCACCAAGGCGACGAUCCGUAGCUGGUCUGAGAGGAUGAUCAGCCACACUGGAACUGAGACACGGUCCAGACUCCUACGGGAGGCAGCAGUGGGGAAUAUUGGGCAAAGGGCGCAAGCCUGACCCAGCCAUACCGCGUGGGUGAAGAAGGCCUUCGGGUUGUAAAGCCCUGUUGUUGGGAAAGAAAAGCAGCAGGUUAAUACCCCGCUGUUCUGACGGUACCCAAAGAAUAAGCACCGGCUAACUUCGUG
Molecule: ribosomal RNA, 492 nt
Filed under: uncultured bacterium
Lineage: Bacteria
Description: partial 16S ribosomal RNA
Rfam family: Bacterial small subunit ribosomal RNA
Source: RNAcentral